Molecule: long non-coding RNA, 1437 nt
Filed under: Olea europaea (common olive)
Lineage: Eukaryota; Viridiplantae; Streptophyta; Magnoliopsida; Lamiales; Oleaceae
Description: long non-coding RNA (OEUR_LNC013918)
Source: RNAcentral
CGUGUUUAGAUUCUCAUUGGUCUAUCUUUUACACGUGUUUGUCACCUUUACCUAUGUAUAGGGAAUAGCAGGGGCGAAAUAGUCUCGACCUUUUUCAUUUUUGGCCUUUAUUAUUUGACAUUUCUGGAGAGAGAUACAGGGAAUCCAUUUUCAAGCUAGUGGAAAUGGGUGGCGAUAAGGCGUUAAGGGUUCUGCUAGUGGUGGUUCUUGUGGCGGUGGCAGUUGGGGGGCAAGAGGUUCAAGGCCCAGUGCACCAUGUGGUCGGUGGAAACCGUCGUUGGAACCCUGAUUCCGACAUCGGUACUUGGUUGUCCGGCCGAGUCUUCAGGGUUGGUGAUAAACUCUGUAAGCAUCUAUCUUCUUUGAAUUUAAAAUAUACUUUUUAGAAAAUAAGCUUAAAAGCUCAGUAAAUGUAUGAACAAUGUUUAGGAAGUUUACUUAUAAGCAACUUAGCAGUAAGUUUACUUUCGUGUUUUACGCAGGGUUUACCUACUCAGUACCACAGGAAAACAUCGUGGAGCUGCAGAGUCUGGAUGAAUUCGAAUCCUGUGAUCUCUCAAAUCCUAUCAAGAUGUACACGGAUGGAUUAAAUCAAAUUCCACUUGAAACUGAAGGGAAUAGGUAUUUUGUGAUUGGGAACCAGGAAAAUUGCGAUAAUGGUCUGAAACUACACGUUGACGUGAAGCCUUCGGAGACGCAGCCGCCGCCUAACCCAUGGCCGGAGCCGUUUCCUAUAUUUUCGCCUCCAACACCGGAGCCUAAGCCAUUUUUGCCGCCGCCUCCGGAACCUAAGCCAAUUUUUCCUCCACCGGUGCCUAAGCCAUCUCCGCCUCCACCGUCUCCGCCUCCGCCAUCUCCGCCUCCGCCUAAGCGAUCUCCUCCUCCACCGUCUCCUCCUCCGCCAUCUCCGCCUCCAGCUUCUCCUCCUCCGCCAUCUCCCCCUCCGCCUAAGCGAUCUCCUCCUCCGCCAUCUCCACCUCCGCCUAAGCCAUCUCCUCCUCCACCGGAGCCGAAGCCAGAGCCCUGGCCUGUGCCACCCUCUGGCUCGACUCAAUUGAAUGGACUUUCCUUUGGUCUGUUUGUUGGGUUUCUACUUUGCUCCUUGGGCCUAUCUACGGGACUGUAGUGGCCCUGUUCCUUAAGGAUAUGUUUGGAUGGUUCAGUAACUAGGAGGUUAGUUAAACUUAUUUAAUUAAUAAACGUUUUUGUCUGUACCAUUAACAAAGACAUUGUGUUGGUUGUGUAUUUGAACCAGUUUUAUUGGGUUCAAUCAUCUAUUUUUGAACUUGUUCUAGUAUUUGCUAAAUGAAUAUGGUCCAUUUUGUGAUGCUCGUUUAUGAAUGGCUAAAUUUCAUUUCACUUGUUUGUGUGAAUAAAUAACUAUUAUUACCUCAUUCAUGACUGUUAAUAUGUAUUUUACCCACCACGUUUGAGUCG